RNAcentral lists this ribosomal RNA (301 nucleotides) under uncultured bacterium. Its description in RNAcentral is "partial 16S ribosomal RNA". It matches the Rfam family "Bacterial small subunit ribosomal RNA", at positions 509 to 807 of the family's 1533-position model. The record is from RNAcentral.
CAGUAGCCGCGGUAAUACGAAGGCCCCGAGCGUUGUCCGGAAUCACUGGGCGUAAAGGGAGCGUAGGCGGCGUGGUAAGUCAGAUGUGAAAUCCCGGGGCUCAACCCCGGAACUGCAUCCGAUACUGCCGUGCUAGAGGAUUGGAGAGGUAGCUGGAAUUCUUGGUGUAGCAGUGAAAUGCGUGGAGAUCAAGAGGAACACUCGUGGCGAAAGCGAGCUACUGGACAAUAUCUGACGCUGAGGCUCGAAGGCCAGGGUAGCGAAAGGGAUUAGAUACCCCCGUAGUCCCUGUCUCUUAUAC